RNAcentral lists this ribosomal RNA (468 nucleotides) under uncultured bacterium. Its description in RNAcentral is "partial 16S ribosomal RNA". It matches the Rfam family "Bacterial small subunit ribosomal RNA", at positions 28 to 507 of the family's 1533-position model. The record is from RNAcentral.
GACGAACGCUGGCGGCGUGCUUAACACAUGCAAGUCGAACGGAAGGGCCCUGCUUUUGCUGGGUUCUCGUGUGGCGAACGGGUGAGUAACACGUGUGUAACCUGUCCUUGUCUUUGGGAUAACUUCACGAAACUGGGGCUAAUAUCCGGGAGGAUCUCUUGCUGCAUGGUGGUCGUUGGAAAGUUUCGGCGGUUGGGGAUGGACUCGCUGCUUAUCAGCUUGAUUGUGGGGUAGGUGCUUACCAAGGCUUUGACGGAUAGCCGGCCUGGGAGGGUGAACGGCCUCCUUGCGACUGAGGUACGGCGCAGAAUCCUACGGGCGGCAGCAGGGGGGAGUAUUGCGCAGUGGGCGGGAGCCAGAGGCAGCAGCGCCGCGAGCGGGAUGACGGCCUUCGGGGGGUAAACCGAUUUCGCCUGUGCCGAGGAGUGAGUGACGGUAAUGGGUAAAGAAGCCCCGGCUAACUACGUG